RNAcentral lists this ribosomal RNA (283 nucleotides) under uncultured eukaryote. RNAcentral describes it as "partial 18S rRNA". It matches the Rfam family "Eukaryotic small subunit ribosomal RNA", at positions 111 to 414 of the family's 1831-position model. The record is from RNAcentral.
UAUAAUCUAUUUGAUGAUCAAAAGUUACAUGGAUAACCGUGGCAAUUCUAGAGCUGAUACAUGCUUAAAGGCUGUGCUUGCGCAGCUGUGUUUAUUAGACAUACUCUACCAACCGAGGUGAUUCAUAAUAACCGUACGGACCUUUGCCAAUGGCAAAGGUAGAUCAUUCGAGUUUCUGACCUAUCAGCUUUCGACGGUAGGGUAUUGGCCUACCGUGGCUUUGACGGGUAACGGGGAAUUAGGGUUCGAUUCCGGAGAGGGAGCCUGAGAAACGGCUACCACA